Molecule: non-coding RNA, 334 nt
Organism: Agelaius phoeniceus (red-winged blackbird)
Lineage: Eukaryota; Metazoa; Chordata; Aves; Passeriformes; Icteridae
Source: RefSeq, a predicted model, not a curated record
GAUCUAAUAAGCUGUUUUAAUAUAAAUCAUUCCACUGGCUUCAGAAGGACUUGGAUCAGAGUUACAAAGAGAAUUGCAAGAAUUCAUCUGCUGCUUCCUAGUAGAAAAGUGGAGCAUAUUUACUAGUGAGCAGUUGGCUGCUAUCAAAAUGGACCUGGACUGGAGCUUCCUGUUGUACAAAUGAAAAAAUUUCCCAAAGAAGGCUGGUGUUUGUAAGAAGAAAUUUUUCCAAAAGUGCACAGGAUCUUGGGGUCAGGAACAGCACCUUCAGAGUGAAGAAAUUGUUAGAACCAACACAUUCUAAUCUGCUCAAAAAGGACCCAGAUUUGUUUCA